UGCUGAUGUGCAAAUCGCUCGGAAGAGUUGGGUAUAGGGGUGAAAGUCCAAUCGAGAUGGGCAAUAGCAGGUUCCGCGCGAGACUACUCGUAGGUAGACCUCCGUAGAGAUAGAAUGCGAGGUAGAGCACUGAUUGGGUGUUUAGGGGGAGCAAUCCCUCGGCACGCUGUCAAACUCCAAAGUUGCAUUCAUCGUAGAAGCGGGGAGUGAGCCACGGUGGGUAAGCUACAGUGACGAAAGGUGAAGAAACCAGCUCAGCGUUAAGGUCCCAAAAUUUCAGUUAAGUGUUAAUCACAAACGGCGUCCGUGGUCGAAGACAACCAGAAGGUGGGCUUAGAGGCAGCCAUCCUUGAAAGAGUUCGUAACAGAUCACUGGUCAAGCUUGCGGGCCCGAAAAAUGGACGGGACUCAAACUGAAUACCGAUACGUUGACCCUCCGAAAGGAGAUGGGGUAGCGCGGCGACAUGGUCGGGUAGAAGCUAGGUCGUGAGAUCUAGUGGACCGUCUAUGUAUGAGAAUCCAGGGAAGAGUAGCAGCAUAGUGCGGUGAGAAUCCGCACCACCGAAGGGGCCAGGGUUCCUCGGCAAUGUUCAUCAGCCGAGGGUUAGCCGGUCCUAAGGUCAAUCUUAACCGACUUGAUCGAAAGGGAAUUGCGUUAAUAUUCGUAAGCCUCUCUGCAAUAAUGGUAACGGCUAAGGCUAGUUCGUGCACUUCAGUCAUGGAGUGUCGAAGCGUUCGAUAAUCGUGUGGAGAACCGUCAUGGUGAGAAACACGAGAAGGCGUGAGUGAAAGACGGAUGAGGCCUUGGUCCCAUGAAAAACCGCAGAAGAUGACCGUACCGAGAACUGACACAGGUACCCAAGGUGAGUAGCCUAAGGUGUGACGGGUAAAGUACCGCGAAGGAACUCGGCAAAAUAGCUCUGUAACUUCGGGAGAAGGAGUGCCAGCUUAGAGAUAAGCUGGUCGCAGUAACAAGGGGACUCCGACUGUUUAAUAAAAACAUAGCCGACUGCUAGUUCGAAAGGAUGCGUAUAGUCGGUGAAUCCUGCUCAGUGCCGGUAUCUGAAAUUGGGUUUCAACCUGACGAAGGACCGGUAAACAGCGGGGGUAACUAUGACCCUCUUAAGGUAGCGUAAUACCUUGUCGCUUAAUUGGCGACUUGCAUGAAUGGCCCAACGAGAGUCCUACUGUCUCCGCGGUACGUCCGGCGAAAUUGACAUUACUGGCGCACAGUCCAGUAACCUCAACCUGCAAGCGAAGACCCCGUAGAGCUUUACUGCAGCCUGGCGUUGUACAUUCGCACACUUUGUGCUGAGUAGACGGGAGAUGUUGAUCCUCGGGACGUUAGUCCCGAGAGUAGUCGUCCAUAGAGACACCGUCCUUAAUGUGUGACUGUACUAACUCUUCAUGAGAACACCGCUUGGUGGGCAGUUUGGGUGGGGCGCCACGCGCCCGAAAACCUAACAGGCGUGCCCAAAGGUCAGCUUAGGUGGUUCAGUCUCCACCGUAAACCGUAAGGGGAAAAGCUGGCUUGACGUGGAUCGGAUCAAUAACGAUCGACGAUGCGAAAGCAGGGCCUAACGAACCAAUGUGCCUCAUUUCUGGGGGCCAUUGAUAACAGAAAAGUUACCUCGGGGAUAAUUGAGUU
RNAcentral lists this ribosomal RNA (1648 nucleotides) under metagenome. RNAcentral describes it as "bacterial LSU rRNA". It matches the Rfam family "Archaeal large subunit ribosomal RNA", at positions 860 to 2553 of the family's 2987-position model. The record is from RNAcentral.